CAAUCUUAAAAAUUCAAAUUAGGGUAAAAUUGAUUGAAUAAUUUAAAAAUAAAUAGAGGGAUUAAAUCCUAGUUUUGAGGUCAGCCCACCAGAAUCUGUCAUCUAUGUGUGAACUGUUACAUGACACAUGUUACAAUUUAUUAUCCAGUUCUUGAUUGCAAUUUAUAUAAUAUAAGUGGAAUGAUGACUUGCGAAAAGUCGCCGACUGAAGUUUGGCUUGCCAAAUCCAAGAAUCAUUGUACCGGUUCAUUCCCUCGUCGAAAGGCAAACCUUUGCUGAUGAUGAACGGGUUCACAUAUUCACAGCAAGCUCAGUCCCUGAACUACUACUGUUCAAAGAAAAAUAAUGGUUGUAGAGCGAGAAUAAAACUAACUGCAGAAGGAGCGAUAAAAGAAGCCAUUUGCAACCACAUUCAUCCUCCACCAAAAUAUAUAGUGACGAUAACAGGAGAUUAUGUGAAGUUGUGAAGUUACAUACAUUUUAGCUGUGGGCUGUGGCAAAAGUGUUACGUAAUCUACCAGCUAGUCCCAAUAAAGGAGUGAAAGUUGUAAAAAAUAGCUCCACCUGCGGAAUUACAAAUUGCUACAAGUGACAAAAUUAACUAACCUAAGCCUUGAAAACGGUACGAUGAAGGAAUACAACUGAUUUGUGACUUUUACCACGGGGAUGACAUUAACAGACAAAUGCCAGGCAUGAAAGAUGUGAAAACAGUCAAGUCGAAUGCGGGAAUGAAGUUACGAAUGC
Long non-coding RNA from Ostrinia furnacalis (Asian corn borer), 744 nucleotides. RefSeq lists it as uncharacterized. NCBI's taxonomy places the organism in Eukaryota, Metazoa, Arthropoda, Insecta, Lepidoptera, Crambidae. The transcript is spliced from 2 exons. The record is from RefSeq and is a predicted model, not a curated record.